CUAUGAUGAAACAACAUAAAAUAGCUGGAAUUACCGGCAGAAUUUUCUUGUUGACAUGUGUCUUUCUGACU
Spea bombifrons (plains spadefoot toad) is the source of this 71-nucleotide small nucleolar RNA. NCBI's taxonomy places the organism in Eukaryota, Metazoa, Chordata, Amphibia, Anura, Pelobatidae. The record is from RefSeq and is a predicted model, not a curated record.